AUCUGGUGCUUAUGGCAUAGUGGUCACACCCGUUCCCAUCCCGAA
This 45-nucleotide ribosomal RNA is filed under the name Spiroplasma insolitum. The record is from RNAcentral. Lineage: Bacteria; Bacillati; Mycoplasmatota; Mollicutes; Entomoplasmatales; Spiroplasmataceae.